CCCGGGUAAGCUCAGAUUGGUAGAGCGCUCCACUGGAAAUGAAGAGGUGCCAGGUGCGAUACCUGGACCAGGGG
This 74-nucleotide transfer RNA is filed under the name Ixodes scapularis (black-legged tick). It matches the Rfam family "tRNA". From Rfam's summary of the family: Transfer RNA (tRNA) molecules are approximately 80 nucleotides in length. The record is from Rfam by way of RNAcentral. Lineage: Eukaryota; Metazoa; Arthropoda; Arachnida; Ixodida; Ixodidae.